Molecule: long non-coding RNA, 411 nt
Filed under: Salmo salar (Atlantic salmon)
Lineage: Eukaryota; Metazoa; Chordata; Actinopteri; Salmoniformes; Salmonidae
Description: lncRNA (ENSSSAG00000095876.1)
Source: RNAcentral
UGUUAUUGGUCACAUGGUUAGCAGAUGUUAUUGGUCCAUACACAUGGUUAGCAGAUGUUAUUGGUCCAUACACAUGGUUAGCAGAUGUUAUUGGUCACAUGGUUAGCAGAUGUUAUUGGUCCAUACACAUGGUUAGCAGAUGUUAUUGGUCACAUGGUUAGCAGAUGUUAUUGGUCCAUACACAUGGUCAGCAGAUGUUAUUGGUCCAUACACAUGGUUAGCAGAUGUUAUUGGUCCAUACACAUGGUUAGCAGGUGUUAUUGGUCCAUACACAUGGUUAGCAGAUGUUAUUGGUCCAUACACAUGGUUAGCAGAUGUUAUUGGUCCAUACACAUGGUUAGCAGAUGUUAUUGGUCCAUACACAUGGUCAGCAGAUGUUAUUGGUCACAUGGUUAGCAGAUGUUAUUGGUC